UCUCUCUCUCUCUCUCUCCCCUCUCUUCUUCUUCUUCUUAUUUUAAUCUUCUAACCUUGAGUAUUGAGAUUUGAUGAUACUUCUUUUGCCUUGCGACUCGCAAGGUGGCCUCCGAAUUGGGUAUCUUCUGCUGCUGCAAUUCCUUCUCUAAUCUAUGUUGCUAGCUACCUCGCGACUAGCAAGGAGGCCUCGUAGUCUUUGUUUCUGUUGCUAUUACUAUUCCCUUGCUCUCGAAAUCUUCGGUUAGAUUUGAGGCAUUUAGGGGUUUGUGGUUGAGUUUUGUUUGUGUUGAAACCCAGUUGGCUUUGUUGAACUUUUUUUUUUUUAAUUAUUAUUGAUUUAUUGGAUUUGAUAGGUUUUUGAUCGUUGAUUAUGAGAAAAUUUGAGUAACUAUUACGCCUGCAUAUGGGUAUGAAUGUUUGAUUUGUUUCUUUUUUAUAAUAUUAAGUGUUGAUUCUCAUAACUUUUUGAUCUUUCAAUGUUUGAUUAGAUUCUUUUUAAUUGAUUGUUAUUGGUUUAUGGGUAUGAAUAAUGUUGAGUUUCUUACCUUCUUUGAGUUUCCAUUGCAAGGAAUUUAAUAAUGGAAAUAGUUGAGAGUUUUCUGUGUACGACAUUUACUAUUGUUUUCAGAUUUUUUAAUUGCAUUUUGGGUGCGAACUG
RNAcentral lists this unclassified non-coding RNA (660 nucleotides) under Hevea brasiliensis (rubber tree). Lineage: Eukaryota; Viridiplantae; Streptophyta; Magnoliopsida; Malpighiales; Euphorbiaceae. The record is from RNAcentral.